GUUAUGCCAAAAAUAGUUUUGUUUGGGUAUUAAAACAACGACUUGGUCAACAAAUAACGAAUUACCGUAUGCAAACAUUCGGUUGGAAGAUUACAGACAGAGACGCAACAACUUCCAACUUCGUUCGACAUUUGAAGUUGCACAAAGACGGGGAUAGUCAGGAGUAUGACCAGACAUCCAAGUCCCUCUACAAGCAGGAGAAUGAACCGAUGAGAAAACCGGACUGAUGGAAGCCUUUCUACGAUGUUAUGCUGCCAGAAUUCCUGACAGCUCCCCUGCUUUAAAGAAAACUACAAGAACAAGGGAACUCUCCUGAAGAAAUCAAUACACAUCUGCAGUCCCCUCCAAGGUUUGUCAUUGUAGCCCAUUGGGUUGAGUUGUUCCUUUCCUGAUGUGGGAUCUGAGCCGAGGAUGUUGUGGCUUGUGCAGUCCUUUGAGACACUUGUGAUUUAGGGCUAUAUAAAUAAACUUUGAUUGCUUGAGAUAGUUGUGUGAAAGGAGGCGCUUGCGCAGCAGCUUGUCCUAUGCUUCUCAACAUACAUAGACUUUCAAAAAUUGUCUAAUAAAUAAUAUAACUUUAUAGCUGUUGGGUGACUUAAAUGGUUGAUUAAAACAAAUUCAGAUUACGUGUUUUAAUGAUUCAAAUUUUUUCUUAUACACUUUAUAUGCAAAUAUGCAUGUCCUUGCGUUUGAAGGGAACGUUUGACGCUAGUGCCUGCCUUUCACACGAAAUGGACUUUCAGCAUGCUAGAAAUUGGGUUCUAUUGAGGACUGCUUCUAAAAUGCCCAGAAAUAGUGGUAUAUGUCUGCUGCAUGUUUACAAACACCACAGUUAAGGAGCAUUACAUGGAUGUGCAGUAAAUGAGUGUUUCCAUGGUAAAAGUCACAUAGCACUCACAAAAAUCUAACUCAAAUCGGGUGAUCUGCACCAGUUAUCAACUGUACACGCACUCUUAGUAGAUCACACGUUCACACAUUCACGAAUAUAGUGGUACACCAUUUUGCACACAUCGUUUAGCGUAUAUAACAUAGUCCUUUGUCCUUUUAUCAGGACACAUCCAUAAACACAUCCAUGUAAACCCCACACUGCUACAGAAAGGUACAAAUCAACAUCAAUAUUUUCACAGUAAAGUCAUGUGUUUUCUACAUAUUAUAACCGAAGUAAUGUAAGUUAUCUGCUGUUUCUUGUUUUGCAGGAAUCCCUUGCAUUUACUCAUGUGAAUAAACUAUUUUUGAUUUUACAGUACUUCAGUCUUGCUAUUUAACAAUGGAUUGCCAUAGUUUUAAAUAUUGAAUACUUCGCCUGUAAAUGGACAAAGACAAGUGGCUGCCACAAAAACAAUAUGUCGCCUUUUGUGGGGAGAUGGGGUCUUGCAGUACAUCAAACAUGUUUUUUUUUCCAGUUUGAAAUGACACCACAGUAAUGUGAAUGCCACUGCAGCCUGGAAAAAAUGCUGGCGUGGUGCAAACCAGCUGUACCAGCUGUAGCCAAUGCCGUAACAAAUGCCAUUAGUGUUUGUGGAGAGGGGCGUGUUCCGCGCGUCCCCUGCGGGCGGGGUGUGUGCAGGGGCCGGCCAUGAAGCAGCCAACAGGUGAGUGGAUACCUCAGCUGGAACGAGUGAUCUAAUCACCUGUUCCCUUUAUUAGCAGCGCUGGAGACCAUGAAAUAGAGAGAGGCAUGAGGACGCAGGAGGACGCAGGAGGACGCAGGACAGACGCACAGAGACGAACAAGGGACAGCUGAAAAGCUUGAAAGACGGACAAUUGUGUAAAGUAAAAGAUGUACUAAAGACUGUGUCAAACCUGAGAAGCUGAACAGACGGACAAUUGUGUAAAGUAAAAGAUGUAUUAAAUACUGUGUCAAACCUGUAUC
Molecule: long non-coding RNA, 1873 nt
Organism: Nerophis ophidion (straightnose pipefish)
Lineage: Eukaryota; Metazoa; Chordata; Actinopteri; Syngnathiformes; Syngnathidae
Exons: 4
Source: RefSeq, a predicted model, not a curated record